Colias croceus (clouded yellow) is the source of this 312-nucleotide long non-coding RNA. RefSeq lists it as uncharacterized. Lineage: Eukaryota; Metazoa; Arthropoda; Insecta; Lepidoptera; Pieridae. The transcript has 4 exons. The record is from RefSeq and is a predicted model, not a curated record.
UUUGAAUUUAAUUGAGUCGCAAAAGUACGCCCACCAAAAUGAAUACCAAAUCUUUCUUGUUUAUUGCUUUCAUUAUCUCUACAUUAUUUGCUUUUGCGCAUUGCAGUGGUUUAGGUGGCUUAGGAGCCAUGAUGAAAAUUAUGCCUGCGGUGACAGGAUCGAAUGAUAAUAAACAAUCUACGGUUGGUGAACAAAUGAAAAAAGUGGGGAACAUGUUUAGCUAGACAAAGCUAGACUUUUGCUUUCCACAUCUAUGCCAACGGAGGGCUGGAGAGAUUUUUAAGUUAUGCAAUAAAACUAUUUAAAUAAUAA